UGCAGUCGAACGGCAGCACGGACUUCGGUCUGGUGGCGAGUGGCGAACGGGUGAGUAAUGUAUCGGAACGUGCCCAGUAGCGGGGGAUAACUACGCGAAAGCGUAGCUAAUACCGCAUACGCCCUACGGGGGAAAGCAGGGGAUCGCAAGACCUUGCACUAUUGGAGCGGCCGAUAUCGGAUUAGCUAGUUGGUGGGGUAACGGCUCACCAAGGCGACGAUCCGUAGCUGGUUUGAGAGGACGACCAGCCACACUGGGACUGAGACACGGCCCAGACUCCUACGGGAGGCAGCAGUGGGGAAUUUUGGACAAUGGGGGAAACCCUGAUCCAGCCAUCCCGCGUGUGCGAUGAAGGCCUUCGGGUUGUAAAGCACUUUUGGCAGGAAAGAAACGUCAUGGGUUAAUACCCCGUGAAACUGACGGUACCUGCAGAAUAAGCACCGGCUAACUACGUGCCAGCAGCCGCGGUAAUACGUAGGGUGCAAGCGUUAAUCGGAAUUACUGGGCGUAAAGCGUGCGCAGGCGGUU
RNAcentral lists this ribosomal RNA (528 nucleotides) under uncultured Achromobacter sp. RNAcentral's name for it is "bacterial SSU rRNA". It matches the Rfam family "Bacterial small subunit ribosomal RNA", at positions 56 to 580 of the family's 1533-position model. Lineage: Bacteria; Pseudomonadati; Pseudomonadota; Betaproteobacteria; Burkholderiales; Alcaligenaceae. The record is from RNAcentral.